This 497-nucleotide ribosomal RNA is filed under the name uncultured bacterium. RNAcentral's name for it is "partial 16S ribosomal RNA". It matches the Rfam family "Bacterial small subunit ribosomal RNA", at positions 28 to 507 of the family's 1533-position model. The record is from RNAcentral.
GAUGAACGCUGGCGGCGUGCCUAAUACAUGCAAGUCGAGCGAACGGACGAGAAGCUUGCUUCUCUGAUGUUAGCGGCGGACGGGUGAGUAACACGUGGAUAACCUACCUAUAAGACUGGGAUAACUUCGGGAAACCGUAGCUAAUACCGGAUAAUAUUUUGAACCGCAUGGUUCAAAAGUGAAAGACGGUCUUGCUGUCACUUAUAGAUGGAUCCGCGCUGCAUUAGCUAGUUGGUAAGGUAACGGCUUACCAAGGCAACGAUGCAUAGCCGACCUGAGAGGGUGAUAGGCCACACUGGAACUGAGACACGGUCCAGACUCCUACGGGAGGCAGCAGUAGGGAAUCUUCCGCAAUGGGCGAAAGCCUGACGGAGCAACGCCGCGUGAGUGAUGAAGGUCUUCGGAUCGGAAAACUCUGUUAUUAGGGAAGAACAUAUGUGUAAGUAACUGUGCACAUCUUGACGGUACCUAAUCAGAAAGCCACGGCUAACUACGUG